AUACUUACCUAGCAGGAAAGAUACCAUGAUCACAAAGGUGGUGUUCUCACAGUGAGGUUCUUCCAUUGCAUUCUGAUGUUCGACCCCUGUGAUUGCCCUAAUGGUGGGAAACUCCACUGCAUAAUCUGUGGUAGAGCAGCACUGCAUUCACACUUUCCCCUA
Small nuclear RNA from Phyllostomus discolor (pale spear-nosed bat), 162 nucleotides. RefSeq annotates it as U1 spliceosomal RNA. The record is from RefSeq and is a predicted model, not a curated record. Lineage: Eukaryota; Metazoa; Chordata; Mammalia; Chiroptera; Phyllostomidae. The transcript has a single exon.